CGUAGGCAGCGAGCGUUGUUCGGAGUUACUGGGCGUAAAGCGUGCGUAGGCGGUCUUGUAAGUUUGGUGUGAAAUCUCCCGGCUCAACUGGGAGGGUGCGCCGAAAACUGCAAGGCUGGAGUAUGGGAGAGGUAGGCGGAAUUCCUGGUGUAGCGGUGAAAUGCGUAGAUAUCAGGAGGAACACCUGUGGUGUAGACGGCUUACUGGACCAUGACUGACGCUGAGGCACGAAAGCGUGGGGAGCAAACAGGAUUAGAUACCCUGGUAGUCCACGCCCUAAACGAUGCAUACUUGGUGUGGGUAAUUCAUUUUAUCCGUGCCGGAGCUAACGCGUUAAGUAUGCCGCCUGGGGAGUACGGUCGCAAGGCUG
This 370-nucleotide ribosomal RNA is filed under the name uncultured organism. Its description in RNAcentral is "bacterial SSU rRNA". It matches the Rfam family "Bacterial small subunit ribosomal RNA", at positions 526 to 896 of the family's 1533-position model. The record is from RNAcentral.